Molecule: ribosomal RNA, 489 nt
Filed under: uncultured bacterium
Lineage: Bacteria
Description: partial 16S ribosomal RNA
Rfam family: Bacterial small subunit ribosomal RNA
Source: RNAcentral
UUGCACGCUGGCGGCAGGCCUCACACAUGCAAGUCGAACGGUAACAGGAAGCAGCUUGCUGCUUCGCUGACGAGUGGCGGACGGGUGAGUAAUGUCUGGGAAACUGCCUGAUGGAGGGGGAUAACUACUGGAAACGGUAGCUAAUACCGCAUAACGUCGCAAGACCAAAGAGGGGGACCUUAGGGCCUCUUGCCAUCGGAUGUGCCCAGAUGGGAUUAGCUAGUAGGUGGGGUAACGGCUCACCUAGGCGACGAUCCCUAGCUGGUCUGAGAGGAUGACCAGCCACACUGGAACUGAGACACGGUCCAGACUCCUACGGGAGGCAGCAGUGGGGAAUAUUGCACAAUGGGCGCAAGCCUGAUGCAGCCAUGCCGCGUGUAUGAAGAAGGCCUUCGGGUUGUAAAGUACUUUCAGCGGGGAGGAAGGGAGUAAAGUUAAUACCUUUGCUCAUUGACGUUACCCGCAGAAGAAGCACCGGCUAACUCCGUG